Molecule: long non-coding RNA, 342 nt
Organism: Struthio camelus australis
Lineage: Eukaryota; Metazoa; Chordata; Aves; Struthioniformes; Struthionidae
Source: Ensembl
GGGGCAGCCGUCCCUGGACGAGCACCUGGAGCUGCGGGACAUCAACGCGGACCUGGCCAGCUUCCGCUCCACCUGGUCCAAGUACAUCCAGGAGAACAAGCAGAAGUGGAAGGAGCGGGCAGCCAGCGGAAUCACCAACCAAAUGUCCAUCGAGGAGCUGUCGCCGUGCGAGGAGGAGCUGCCGGCGCCCGAGAGCCGGCACAAGCAGAAUGGCAACGUGGAAUAGCACGAGGCGGGAGCGAGGUCCUCGUCCGACUGAGUGAUGCAGUUUAGUCCAAAGUCUUCGAUGCCAUCGAAUUCAGCACCAUUUGCAGGGAAGGAGCCGCCCGGGCCCGGGCUGAU